This is a non-coding RNA of Corchorus olitorius, 156 nucleotides long. NCBI's taxonomy places the organism in Eukaryota, Viridiplantae, Streptophyta, Magnoliopsida, Malvales, Malvaceae. The record is from Rfam.
CUGGCAGGGAUGGUGUGUAUCGGCUCUGUGCUACAAUAAAUGCACUCUGUUUCCGAAAGAGUUCCCUGCAAAAUCAACUGCAUGAGCAUGAGGAAGAUGGGCAGUUGUUUUUCAUCCUAGUCGUUGGAAUUACCAACAAUCAUCUUCCAAACAUCA